AUUGGAUUAUACAAUCUAACUUACGUUACAAUGUAUCUUCUCCUUUUUACCAAAUUAUAAACUACGUUUUGUUUGCUCAAAAAAAAAAAAUAUUUAUUCCAUGUUUUAUGUUAAAGCGAAGGAAUUAGAAUUUCAUUGCGCGCAAGGAGCUUUCGGGUAGCAGCUCCUUGGGACUUGGCCCAAACCCAGAUCCAACGUAUAGGCCCUGAUUCCGACCUGACUGACAUGUCACCCGACUGGGGCCCAUGGCCACCUGUAAAUGUGUCUGAGAUAUGGCCCUGGCAAAUGACAAAUUAGCACCAUCAAUUACUGAAAUUUAUUUUGCCAGCCUUGUUUGCCUCGGCUCUGGAAUUGACCUGCCCCACCAGCCCACUGGCCCACUGGCUGCCUACGGACUCAUUUGUUGUACUUAAUUUGGGUUCCGUGCGUUUCGACAUGCACUCAGAGAAAUUUUGUAGUACUUUUAAGUUUUAGAUCUUACUAUACAUCUUAGUAUAUAUGUAUAAUUUGCACAUAUACUAGCUCACUUGCCAUUGAUUCUACGUAUCCAUUUGUUUAAACAUUUAUUUUUGGCUUUAGUAACAGAAUGUCGCUUUGCAAUUCCUUUUUAUCGGAUGCAAAUACAACCAAUGCUGCAAGCGAA
This is a long non-coding RNA of Drosophila yakuba, 643 nucleotides long. RefSeq lists it as uncharacterized. The record is from RefSeq and is a predicted model, not a curated record. The transcript has 2 exons. NCBI's taxonomy places the organism in Eukaryota, Metazoa, Arthropoda, Insecta, Diptera, Drosophilidae.